GACGAACGCUGGCGGCGUGCUUAACACAUGCAAGUCGAACGGUGAAGCUCCAGCUUGCUGGAGUGGAUCAGUGGCGAACGGGUGAGUAACACGUGAGCAACCUGCCCCUGACUCUGGAAUAAGCGCUGGAAACGGCGUCUAAUACUGGAUACGAGAAGGGUCCGCAUGGGCACUUUCUGGAAAGUUUUUCGGUUGGGGAUGGGCUCGCGGCCUAUCAGCUUGUUGGUGAGGUAAUGGCUCACCAAGGCGACGACGGGUAGCCGGUCUGAGAGGGCGACCGGCCACACUGGGACUGAGACACGGCCCAGACUCCUACGGGAGGCAGCAGUGGGGAAUAUUGCACAAUGGGCGAAAGCCUGAUGCAGCGACGCCGCGUGAGGGAUGACGGCCUUCGGGUUGUAAACCUCUUUCAGCAGGGAAGAAGCGAAAGUGACGGUACCUGCAGAAGAAGCACCGGCUAACUACGU
This 467-nucleotide ribosomal RNA is filed under the name uncultured bacterium. RNAcentral's name for it is "partial 16S ribosomal RNA". It matches the Rfam family "Bacterial small subunit ribosomal RNA", at positions 28 to 506 of the family's 1533-position model. The record is from RNAcentral.